AGAUUCCUACGGGACGCAGCAGUGAGGAAUAUUGGUCAAUGGGCGCGAGCCUGAACCAGCCAAGUAGCGUGAAGGAUGACUGCCCUACGGGUUGUAAACUUCUUUUAUAAAGGAGUAAAGUGAGGCACGUGUGCCUUUUUGUAUGUACUUUAUGAAUAAGGAUCGGCUAACUCCGUGCCCGCAGCCGCGGUAAUACGGGGGAUCCGAGCGUUAUCCGGAUUUAUUGGGUUUAAAGGGAGCGUAGAUGGGUUGUUAAGUCAGUUGUGAAAGUUUGCGGCUCAACCGUAAAAUUGCAAUUGAUACUG
Molecule: ribosomal RNA, 305 nt
Filed under: uncultured bacterium
Lineage: Bacteria
Description: bacterial SSU rRNA
Rfam family: Bacterial small subunit ribosomal RNA
Source: RNAcentral